This 253-nucleotide ribosomal RNA is filed under the name uncultured bacterium. Its description in RNAcentral is "partial 16S ribosomal RNA". It matches the Rfam family "Bacterial small subunit ribosomal RNA", at positions 524 to 776 of the family's 1533-position model. The record is from RNAcentral.
UACAGAGGGUGCAAGCGUUAAUCGGAAUUACUGGGCGUAAAGCGUGCGUAGACGGUUGCGUAAGUCAGAUGUGAAAGCCCCGGGCUCAACCUGGGAAUUGCGAUGAAGACUGCAAGGCUAGAGUUUGGCAGAGGGGGGUAGAAUUCCACGUGUAGCAGUGAAAUGCGUAGAUAUGUGGAGGAACACCGAUGGCGAAGGCAGCCCCCUGGGUCAAAACUGACGCUCAUGCACGAAAGCGUGGGGAGCAAACAGG